AAAAGUGUGGCACGGGAACUCAGACGGUCGUUUAUACCUUAAAACCACAGAUAUGUAAUAUAUAGAUAUAACGUAUAUUUAUAUCUUUAUAUAUACAUGUAAAAUGAACUGUCUGAGUUCGAAUAAAUGAAUAACGUGGUGAAGUUUAUCUAGUUAGACCGUGGUAAAACCCCACCUGUUCUACCGUUGUCUCGAGCGGCUUUCCAGACUCGACGUGACGUCACACACGCCGUAUCCCGAGCGCUCCCCCCCUCCACCUCUGAGCGCGUGGUCCUGGUCGCGAGCACAUGGAAGUGAGGUUUGAGAUUUGUGUCUGAGAGACGUUCGAGCGACUGUCGGGAAAACGGAAUAUAAAGUGAAUUAAAGAAGCAGCCCGAGCAGCCCGAAACGGCAGUGAGGAGGAGACGUCAGGAGGGGCAAACGGAGGAUCCAAUCCUGGGUGGAGGUUUGAACCUACUGGUUAACACAAUGAAACCAAGGGAAGGUACGAUUUGAUUAAUGUGGGUUUUGGCUCGUCUGGACAGAAACAUCAGCAAGGACACUGUGGACGUAAAAUGCUUCUGCUGCUGCUGCUGUGAUGGUGGUGUUGCAGACCCCCCAUGCAGGCCAGAUCUUUCUGCAGCUUCUGCACCGACACAUGAUCUGACUAGGAAGGAUGCAAAGGUGGAAGCAGACCGUGCUGGAUUUAGUUUCACAGCAUCUUACUGGAGCAAACGCACACAACAUACUGCAAGGUUUUCAGUAGUAUCUACUUCCCCCUUUUUUUUUCUUUUUUUUGUUUGAGAGGACACGGAUACACCCUGACUGGGCCCCUGUAGUGCUCUACAUUGUGGUUGGGAAGUACCUAGUUUUACAACUGUCAUGCUGGCCUGCUUAAAGGGACAGUGCUGAUCAAUUCGAAGCACAUAUUCAGGGGUCUUUUAGUCACCCUAACAAGGGGGUCACAUGGAUGUUUGAGUCGUCAUUCCUCAUGUGAGGAAUGUGCAGUCCGAAGAGCCGCUUUCUGCAUCAAGCACUGCAUAAAAAUACUGAUUGAUAUUUGUUAAAAGAAUGUCUUUAAUAAAAAGUUGAAUUGAAUUGGGUGUGAGAGUUUCCUGCUUUUGAAAAACGAAAGAGAGAAGACUCACAACUCUACAGGUUCUUUUUAGUCUGAAUGCAUAGUGGAUUUGUUUU
Molecule: long non-coding RNA, 1173 nt
Organism: Oreochromis aureus
Lineage: Eukaryota; Metazoa; Chordata; Actinopteri; Cichliformes; Cichlidae
Source: Ensembl